CUGCAGUGAUGCACAUGAAUUUCUUCACCUGACAAUAAAUGAAGUCUUAAUCUGAGCUUUUUAACACUGAGCAGC
Molecule: small nucleolar RNA, 75 nt
Organism: Bombina bombina (fire-bellied toad)
Lineage: Eukaryota; Metazoa; Chordata; Amphibia; Anura; Bombinatoridae
Source: RefSeq, a predicted model, not a curated record